This is a non-coding RNA of Colletotrichum navitas, 96 nucleotides long. The record is from the annotation of a RefSeq genome assembly. Lineage: Eukaryota; Fungi; Ascomycota; Sordariomycetes; Glomerellales; Glomerellaceae.
GGCCGGCUGGCGCAAUGGUAGCGCUUCAGACUUCUACCUUCUCGUUCCCGAGAUGUGGUUAUCUGGAGGUUGUGGGUUCGAGCCCCACGUUGGUCA